This is a long non-coding RNA of Sander lucioperca (pikeperch), 103 nucleotides long. RefSeq lists it as uncharacterized. The record is from RefSeq and is a predicted model, not a curated record. The transcript has 3 exons. Lineage: Eukaryota; Metazoa; Chordata; Actinopteri; Perciformes; Percidae.
ACUUCAGAUACAGUAUUAGGGGACCACUAAGGCCUAUAUAAAAGCAUCCAAAAAGCAGCAUGUUAUAGGACCUUUAAGGUACAAUAAGCUCAAAAAAGACUGC